This 537-nucleotide ribosomal RNA is filed under the name uncultured Bacteroidota bacterium. RNAcentral's name for it is "bacterial SSU rRNA". It matches the Rfam family "Bacterial small subunit ribosomal RNA", at positions 379 to 916 of the family's 1533-position model. The record is from RNAcentral. Lineage: Bacteria; Pseudomonadati; Bacteroidota.
GAGUCUGAACCAACCAAGUAGCGUGCAGGAUGCCGGCCCUAUGGGUUGUAAACUGCUUUUAUAAGGGAAUAAAGUGAGUCUCGUGAGACUUUUUGCAUGUACCUUAUGAAUAAGGACCGGCUAAUUCCGUGCCAGCAGCCGCGGUAAUACGGAAGGUCCGGGCGUUAUCCGGAUUUAUUGGGUUUAAAGGGAGCGUAGGCCGGAGAUUAAGCGUGUUGUGAAAUGUAGACGCUCAACGUCUGCACUGCAGCGCGAACUGGUUUCCUUGAGUACGCACAAAGUGGGCGGAAUUCGUGGUGUAGCGGUGAAAUGCUUAGAUAUCACGAAGAACUCCGAUUGCGAAGGCAGCUCACUGGAGCCCAACUGACGCUGAAGCUCGAAAGUGCGGGUAUCGAACAGGAUUAGAUACCCUGGUAGUCCGCACGGUAAACGAUGGAUGCCCGCUGUUGGUCUGAAUAGGUCAGCGGCCAAGGGAAAGCAUUAAGCAUCCCACCUGGGGAGUACGCCGGAAAGGGUGCAACUCAAAUGAAUUGACGG